CCCACACCCAUCUGGAUCUCAUCUUAUCGGAUCUUUACUCGUUCUUCUCCAACAAACCCACACCGGAUCCUAUCCUUUCCCAUUCCCUUUUACAAUCCAAUUCUCACCUUCUCGGAUCCUCUGAUCGGACUCUUUGAAGUUGCAGCAACCAAAAAAAACGAAGCUUCUGCUGCAUUUCGUACUGGCUGAUUCAACCUUAUGCAAUGGAAGUCUCAAAUGAAUCAGCUAUUAAGAAACCGAAAAGGUUAACCUCUGUGGUGUGGAAUCACUUUGAAAGGGUUAGGAAGGCUGACAUAUGUUAUGCUGUUUGUGUACAUUGUAACAAGAGGCUAAGUGGGUCAAGUAAUAGUGGAACUACGCAUCUGAGAAAUCACUUGAUGCGAUGCUUGAAAAGAUCUAAUUGUGAUGUGUCACAACUACUUGCAGCAAAGAGAAGGAAAAAGGAAACUACCCUUAGCCUUCCAAAUGUCAAUUAUGAUGAAGGACAAAGAAAAGAUGAAUAUAUUAAGCCCACAGUUAUAAAGUAUGACCAGGAGCAGAGAAAAGAUGAAGUUAUUAGUCUUGGAAGUAGCAGGUUUGAUCAAGAGCGGAGUCAGCUUGAUCUUGCCCGCAUGAUUAUAUUACAUGGUUAUCCAUUGUCUAUGGUUGAGCAUGUUGGAUUCAAAAUAUUUGUCAAAAAUCUCCAGCCUUUGUUUGAGUUUUUGCCAAAUACCUUCAUAGAACUCUCCUGCGUGGAAAUUUAUGGGAAAGAGAAAGAGAAAGUGUAUGAAGUGAUAAAUAGAUUGCAGGGCAGAAUUAACCUCUCCAUUGAAAUGUGGUCUUCUCCAGAAAACAUAGAGUACUUGUGUUUGACAGCACAUUAUAUUGAUGAGGAUUGGAAAUUACAGAAGAAGAUUCUAAAUUUUGUGACACUGGAUCCUUCUCAUACAGAAGAUAUGCUUUCAGAAGUUAUUAUUAAGUGUCUUAUGGAGUGGGACAUUGAAUGCAAGUUGUUUGCCAUGACAUUUGAUGACUGUUCCAUCGAUGAUGAUAUUGUCCUCAGAAUUAAGGACCGAAUCUCUCAAAACAGACCCCUUUUGAGUAAUGGCCAGUUAUUUGAUGUACGUUCUGCUGCACAUGUUCUUAAUUGCAUUGUUCAAGAUGCCAUGGAAGCACUCCGUGAAGUGACCCAAAAGAUUCGAGGAAGUGUCAGAUAUGUUAAAAGUUCACAGGCAACACAUGGGAAGUUCAACGAGAUAUCCCAGCAAGUUGGAAUCAGCAGUCAGAAGACCUUAGUUCUUGAUUCUCCAAUUCACUGGAACACAACAUAUUUCAUGCUUGAAACAGCAUUGGAAUACAAGAGUGCAUUUUCUCUGUUGCAAGAGCAUGACCCAGCCUAUUCAUCAGCUUUAACCGAUGCAGAGUGGGAAUGGUCAAGUUCUAUCACUAGUUAUUUGAAACUUUUUGUUGAAAUCACCAAUGUCUUUUCUGGUAACAAAUGUAUGACAGCAAAUAUAUAUUUUCCUGAGAUUUGUGAUGUUCACAUCCAAUUAAUUGAAUGGUGCAAGAGCACAAAUGAUUUCCUUAGCUCCAUAGCAUUGAAGAUGAAAGCUAAGUUUGAUAAAUAUUGGAGCAAGUGUAGUUUGGCUUUGGCAGUAGCAGCUAUCUUAGAUCCCCGAUUCAAGAUGAAGUUGGUGGAAUACUACUAUUCUCAGAUAUAUGGUAGUACUGCCCUGGAUCGAAUCAAGGAAGUUUCUGAUGGUAUUAAAGAACUUUUUAAUGCAUACUCUAUCUGUUCAACAUUGGUUGAUCAAGGUUCAGCUUUGCCUGGCAACAGUUUACCUAGUACCAGCAGUGACAGUAGAGAUAGAUUAAAGGGCUUUGACAAGUUCCUGCACGAGACUUCUCAAACGCAGAGUGUAGCAUCUGAUUUGGACAAAUAUUUAGAGGAACCUGUCUUUCCUCGUAAUUGUGAUUUUAACAUACUAAACUGGUGGAAAGUCCACAGACCAAGGUACCCUAUCUUGGCCAUGAUGGCACGUGAUGUUUUGGGGACUCCCAUGUCUACUGUUGCACCAGAGUUGGCGUUUAGCAUUGGAGGUAGGGUGCUUGAUAGUCAUCGAAGUUCACUGAAUCCAGACACUCGACAGGCUCUGAUAUGUGCACGGGAUUGGUUGCGAGGGGAACCAGAAGAGCACAACCCGUCCUCUGCUCUAGCUCUGUAUCUUGAAGCAAGUUAAUUUUUCCAUGGUUGAUGGAUCUCUUGUCGGCUAUAUGAUGGUGUCUCAUUGUUCAACAUUUGGGCAUCCUUCUGAAUUUGUUUCUUCUUUGUCCAUAUUUCAGCAAGACUGCAUUGCUAUUCAAGUAGAGU
This 2350-nucleotide unclassified non-coding RNA is filed under the name Hevea brasiliensis (rubber tree). The record is from RNAcentral. Lineage: Eukaryota; Viridiplantae; Streptophyta; Magnoliopsida; Malpighiales; Euphorbiaceae.